Triticum urartu is the source of this 806-nucleotide non-coding RNA. Lineage: Eukaryota; Viridiplantae; Streptophyta; Magnoliopsida; Poales; Poaceae. The record is from RefSeq and is a predicted model, not a curated record.
CGGAGAGAGGGCCAGGUCUUGCCACUCCGGUGUUUGAUGUGGCCAGAUCCGGCCGGGGGAUUCGCCGCAGAGCCUCCAUGUCGGUGGAGCAGCAGCAGCCCGACAGAAGAUCCAGCGCUCAAAUAAGAUUAGGAGGAAGGGCAUCACACUCUCCGGGAGCAAACAAGAUACCACAUACCGAUCCUGAUUCGGAAUUAUGACAGGGAGUCAGGGACACAAUCAAAUUUAUACCAUCCGUUGUGAUUCAAUUUGACCAUUUCAUUAAAAUUUCCGGAUGGAUCUUAAUUCCUCGGGAAUGAUGUGGUUCUGGAGUCUAUUGUUAAUCUCUUCUGUCGUAGAUGUUUCACAAAUCCAACUACCAUGUUGAUUUUCUGAUCAUUCUUUGGUCUGGAGUCUGGACUAUACAUGAUAUAUGUAUUAUAUCAUCAUCACAAUAUGAUUAUUUUUCUUCUUCUCACAAGGCGCUUCCGAUGCACAGAUGGCGGCAAUGAAGCAGCAGGCUCCGGAGAGCGUGCAGGGGAGGAAGGAGUUCCUGGUGGAGGUGCUGAUGCUGACGGUGCUCAGCCAGCCUAACUUUGUCAGCCUGGUCGGCUUCUGCGCGCAGGGGGACAAGCGCCUGCUAUUGUACGAGUACAUGCCCUUCGGCAACCUAGAGAGCCAUCUCUUUGGAAUACUUCGUCUCAACUUGCUCUCUGUUUGGUCCAGUUCAUCUCUGCAAUGCAGUUAAUAUGUAUCUAUCUCUGCUCUUAACAUGUUAUAACUAAGCAUCCCUAUUGAAAUGCAUUGGCUUUUCUUCAUGAUGCAUG